GCCAGCUUAGCUCAGCUGGUAGAGCAACCGCCUUGUAAGCGGUAGGUCGCGAGUUCGAAUCUCGCAGCUGGCU
RNAcentral lists this transfer RNA (73 nucleotides) under Candidatus Peribacteria bacterium. RNAcentral's name for it is "tRNA-Thr". It matches the Rfam family "tRNA". Rfam says of the family: Transfer RNA (tRNA) molecules are approximately 80 nucleotides in length. The record is from RNAcentral. Lineage: Bacteria; Candidatus Peregrinibacteriota; Candidatus Peribacteria.